This 17-nucleotide ribosomal RNA is filed under the name Scenedesmus quadricauda. RNAcentral's name for it is "partial 28S ribosomal RNA". The record is from RNAcentral. RNAcentral also lists the same sequence under 1 other name. Lineage: Eukaryota; Viridiplantae; Chlorophyta; Chlorophyceae; Sphaeropleales; Scenedesmaceae.
AUGGGUUCGACCUGAGC